UUUAUUAGUAAUAUUGAAGUUAACAUCAUUUAUCAUUAGUAAUUAGUCGUAGAAAUAAGUUUUAUAUGAUUUCAUGUGGUACUUUGCUCUUCGCGGAUACGGACAGAUACGUAUAGUAUUUGAUAUUUUACAUUUUUGUUGAAUACGAAUCUUUAAUUAGAGAAAAAUAUUGAAAUUGAAUUCUCGGGGUGUUUGGUUCUUUAGGAGCUUCUAAAAUUCUUGUCACAUCGAAUGUUUAGAUACUAAUUAGAAAUAUUAAAUGUAGACUACUUACAAAACCAAUUGUACAGAUGGAGGCUAAUUUGCGAGACAAAUCUAUUAAGCCUAAUUAAUCCAUGAUUUGAUAAUAUAUUGUUACAGUAAACAUGUGUUAAUGAUGGACUAAUUAGGUUUAAUAGAUUCGUCUCGCGAAUUAGCCUCCAUCUAUGUAAU
Molecule: long non-coding RNA, 432 nt
Filed under: Setaria viridis
Lineage: Eukaryota; Viridiplantae; Streptophyta; Magnoliopsida; Poales; Poaceae
Description: long non-coding RNA (SVIR_LNC004945)
Source: RNAcentral